AAUUAGUACCUGUCCGGGUAGAGUA
Molecule: microRNA, 25 nt
Filed under: Equus caballus (horse)
Lineage: Eukaryota; Metazoa; Chordata; Mammalia; Perissodactyla; Equidae
Source: RNAcentral